CAGCCGCCGCGGUAUACGGAGGAUCCAAGCGUUAUCCGGAAUCAUUGGGUUUAAAGGGUCCGUAGGCGGUUUAAUAAGUCAGUGGUGAAAGCCUAUCGCUUAACGAUAGAACGGCCAUUGAUACUGUUAGACUUGAAUUAGUGGGAAGUAACUAGAAUAUGUAGUGUAGCGGUGAAAUGCUUAGAUAUUACAUGGAAUACCAAUUGCGAAGGCAGGUUACUAUCACUAUAUUGACGCUGAUGGACGAAAGCGUGGGGAGCGAACAGGAUUAGAUACCCUGGUAGUCCACGCCGUAAACGAUGGAUACUAGCUGUUCGGAGCAAUCUGAGUGGCUAAGCGAAAGUGAUAAGUAUCCCACCUGGGGAGUACGUUCGCAAGAAUGAAACUCAAAGGAAUUGACGGGGGCCCGCACAAGCGGAGGAGCAUGUGGUUUAAUUCGAUGAUACGCGAGGAACCUUACCAGGGCUUAAAUGGGAGACGACAGGACUGGAAACAGUUUUUUCUUCGGACGUCUUUCAAGGUGCUGCAUGGUUGUCGUCAGCUCGUGCCGUGAGGUGUCAGGUUAAGUCCUAUAACGAGCGCAACCCCUAUUGUUAGUUGCCAGCGGGUCAUGCCGGGAACUCUAACAAGACUGCCGGUGCAAACCGUGAGGAAGGUGGGGAUGACGUCAAAUCAUCACGGCCCUUACGUCCUGGGCUACACACGUGCUACAAUGGGCGGUACAGAGAGCAGCCACUACGCAAGUAGGCGCGAAUCUUCAAAACCGUUCUCAGUUCGGAUCGGAGUCUGCAACUCGACUCCGUGAAGCUGGAUUCGCUAGUAAUCGCAUAUCAGCCAUGAUGCGGUACUACGGUCCCGGGCCUGCACUCACCGC
Molecule: ribosomal RNA, 874 nt
Filed under: uncultured Flavobacteriales bacterium
Lineage: Bacteria; Pseudomonadati; Bacteroidota; Flavobacteriia; Flavobacteriales
Description: bacterial SSU rRNA
Rfam family: Bacterial small subunit ribosomal RNA
Source: RNAcentral